UACGGAGGGGGCUAGCGUUGUUCGGAAUUACUGGGCGUAAAGCGCACGUAGGCGGUUUUUCAAGUCAGAGGUGAAAGCCCGGGGCUCAACUCCGGAAUUGCCUUUGAAACUGGAAGACUUGAACACGGGAGAGGUGAGUGGAAUUCCGAGUGUAGAGGUGAAAUUCGUAGAUAUUCGGAGGAACACCAGUGGCGAAGGCGGCUCACUGGACCGUUGUUGACGCUGAGGUGCGAAAGCGUGGGGAGCAAACAGG
Molecule: ribosomal RNA, 253 nt
Filed under: uncultured bacterium
Lineage: Bacteria
Description: partial 16S ribosomal RNA
Rfam family: Bacterial small subunit ribosomal RNA
Source: RNAcentral